This 253-nucleotide ribosomal RNA is filed under the name uncultured bacterium. RNAcentral's name for it is "partial 16S ribosomal RNA". It matches the Rfam family "Bacterial small subunit ribosomal RNA", at positions 524 to 776 of the family's 1533-position model. The record is from RNAcentral.
UACGGAGGGUGCAAGCGUUAUCCGGAUUCACUGGGUUUAAAGGGUGCGUAGGUGGGAAUGUAAGUCAGUGGUGAAAUCUCCGUGCUUAACACGGAAACUGCCAUUGAUACUAUGUUUCUUGAAUUAUCUGGAGGUCGGCGGAAUAUGUCAUGUAGCGGUGAAAUGCUUAGAUAUGACAUAGAACACCAAUUGCGAAGGCAGCUGGCUACAGGUGGAUUGACACUGAGGCACGAAAGCGUGGGGAUCAAACAGG